UUAGGUCAUAAGAGAACCUCGAUCGAUCCAUGAAUUGCAAGCCUUAAACAUAACAGAGCGCACAAAAAUAUUUAUUGGAUAAACAGUUUUCAAUUCAUGAAACAUUUAGAGCUUAAUAACUCAAGCAUACAUUUGAAAAAUAAGCCCACCUGAUUAGGCAAAGCCUGUCGUUUAUCUUAUCUUUGAACCGGAAUAGCCGUCCUAGUCCUCACGAUCCAAAAAGCCUACAAGAAGUCUAUAAUCUUAAUAGGUCUCCUAAAUCUAAUCUUAAGCCAUGGUAAAGUGCUUAACAUCCUAUAAUUCACUUAGCCGGGUUUUUCAAAAUUUAACGAAUAAAUAAAUAGCAGCCCAUUUCUUUAACUUAGAACAAAGGCCCAAAACAUGAUUAAAAUCAACCCACUUUCUUUUUUAAAAAAAAUGGCAGCCCUUUUUUGGCCCAAAUUAAUUAGGGCAAGGCCCAAAAUCCUUCUUCUUCAUUUAAAACACAUGAACACGCACACACCACAAACCCUCUCUCUCUCUCUCUCUCUCUC
Molecule: long non-coding RNA, 533 nt
Filed under: Salvia miltiorrhiza (redroot sage)
Lineage: Eukaryota; Viridiplantae; Streptophyta; Magnoliopsida; Lamiales; Lamiaceae
Description: long non-coding RNA (SMIL_LNC000854)
Source: RNAcentral